UACGUGCAUCAAAUCAAACGAGUUACGGUUCAUUAAAUAAAAUCAGUUGAGAUAAAAUCGUGAUAUUUGAGAAGAAAUUAAUUUGAAAAUAAGAUUUAAUGUUACUGCUUCAACGAAUUAUUCCAAGCUUAAAUAUUAUUAAUAUCUUUACAUUAAAACAGGGUGCGCUGCAGGCUACGACUAUUAAAGUGAACGUAGUCGAAUAUUGUGUUUUAAUUAGAAAAAAAAGAAGAUUCUAUGUUAUUAUAAUAUGAAUUUGAAAAGUAUUUUCAUAGAUUGAUUUAAUCAUAGUUAUUUCAAAACAAUUCUAAACUUUGAAACUAUGCCAUUCAAAGAAAGUGUUAUUUGUUCCGACUAGAAAUACAAAUAUGAAAAUAAUAUUUAGGCCAGAAAGAUGGAAAAAUGAUAAUCGAAUUUUGAAAGUUAUCGUCUUCUCAACUACCGUUGAAAAAUAAUACGUCUUCUUGCUUUUUCGGGUUCUCGUAUCAUCCUUAUAAUCCCAGGAUCUUUAUCCACCACCCUUGAAAACGGCACCACGACAGCUGUUAGGAACACAGUAAGGAUGAACCCUUUGCCCUAUUGGGGAAAGAAUUGAAUAAAAUUUAUAAGGAAGCUAAAACAGCAUCGCACAUACCACCCCAAAUACUAUGAUGGUGCAUAGCGGGGGAAAAAGAAGUACGUAGUAUGAUGAAGAACUGCAACGAGAAAGAGAAAGAUAGAUAGAAAGAAAGAAAGAAAGAAAGAGAGAGAGAGAGAUAGAAGAGCAUGGGUUCAGAACCGUGCCGUGAGAACAUAAGUAUGUAUGGAAUUAAACUCGGAAGGAAGAUAACGGUCAUUUGAAAAGGAAAUUCAAAUGGAAUACAUCAUUUAUCCUUAAUAAUGAACAACUUUGCGUGACUCUGUAAUGAAAGGGAGUUACACACUAGGAAUUCUUGGAAUUUGGAUGGUAUAACUAAAGGAGGGGAUCUAUGAAACAAUUUGCCUGGCCUCUUGUAAGCUCUGUUAGAAUCUUCGACAACCACAACCACGACGAUGAUGAUGACGACAACGACGACGAGGACGAUGGAAUACACCACCCAAGAGAGCCCUAAUUUCGUAGAAUAACGACGAUGCCUUCAGAAGAUGCCUCGAAGAAAAUUUAAAAGAAGAUGAAGCACGUAUUCUACAAUAUUCUGGUAGCUUGGAGAAAUCCCGACUGAAGAUGAAGAUCUUGGAAGCUGAUGGUGAUCUUGCUGAUGGUGAAAAAGAAGCAAAGAUGAAGAAGACGAUGCUUCACGUAGGAAGUUUUCGAGCAAACUGCUGCUCGUGGCCAGGUGUUCCUCCUCUUUAUUCCUUUUGGCUGCCAUAACAAACUUGGUUGCUUUCAAGGACUAUUCAUCCGGUCGUUUCUUUCCUUCACCUGGGACAGCUGGAACUCAGGACGACCACGUGCUCUCGACUUCAACGAGCAAUCCCAGCAUAGCAGGUUGCAACGGUUUAUCGUAGCAUUAUCGAAUCGUUGAUUAAGAGGAAUCAACAUAAAUUCAUUCACGAAAAUUAUACACACCUAUAACUUAAUACGUUCUACUACAAAUGAUAUUUACUCGCUACUAUCGAUUAUAAUUAAUCCUCUAAUUGUGAAAGAUUAUUAUAUGUUACUUUGUAAGAUACGAAGAAUUUCUAAAGACUGCACAGUUUCAUAACAAAGCUUAAACGUUUACUCGAGCAAACUAAUUUUCAAUUUGAUUUUGCGAAUAGUCGAAAUUUUAUAAAACACGUUAAAUAAUUCAUUUCAAUUGAAUUUUAUUAUAAUUGAUGGUCGUUCGUCUCAACGUUCCUUCUUAAUCGUUAACUCUUACAGUUUAUUGUGCAAUCGAUGAUAACAUGUUCACACGGAACUCUACAUAUGUAUUUAAAUGAAUCAGUGAUUAUA
Long non-coding RNA from Polistes canadensis, 1912 nucleotides. RefSeq lists it as uncharacterized. The transcript has 7 exons. NCBI's taxonomy places the organism in Eukaryota, Metazoa, Arthropoda, Insecta, Hymenoptera, Vespidae. The record is from RefSeq and is a predicted model, not a curated record.